RNAcentral lists this long non-coding RNA (313 nucleotides) under Sorghum bicolor (sorghum). RNAcentral describes it as "long non-coding RNA (SBIC_LNC015407)". Lineage: Eukaryota; Viridiplantae; Streptophyta; Magnoliopsida; Poales; Poaceae. The record is from RNAcentral.
GUCAUAACUCUCGUUCUUUUGAAACAUUGAGUUUUCGGUUAAGCUGUUUAACCUCCAAAUCCCUAUUACACAAUACUUAAUGGAGGCUGGCGAUUGAAGGUGGUUGUACGCUUCCAAUCAAAGACCUCUGUUAGUAGUGACCUAUGGAGACGUUGCUUUGCCCAUCUGGAUUAAUCUAUUAAUGGAUAUGGGUGUGACAUUAAUCCCAUUAAUUAGGCGUGUUAAAUAUUCUCUAGAAAACCCAAAAACUUUGUGAUUUUUGAGACUCAAACCCAUGACUUGGUGCCCAACACUACCACAUUUUUACCACUGC